CCUCGACAAAUUCGUUGUUGAGAGCCCGAAUGGGAGACAUCCGUGCUAUACGACCGUCCCCGCGCGAUACGACCUUAGUGACGCUGCGUAUGGCUAUGUUUCCCCCCUUCCAGUUGUGAGGGCUCUGGAAGCGAGGAUCAUUCAGGCUCUUGCGUAUAUUGCACUCGCAAGGAUUUAUACAUGGAGUUUCGCUACAGCUCGACUCUCUUUCCAUUGAGGACUUCCAUAUAAAAAUUAUGGAGAUCCUGACCUUAUACCUGUUGAGCAAUGUGAUGGAAAACCACUUCCAUCAAAUAUCCCGCCAAUCAGUGUACCCUCACUGAUACCAGGGUAUUGCUCAGUGGCGCUGGCGAGGCAUUCGCUCCAGCAUCUCAUCAUCGUCAGGC
RNAcentral lists this small RNA (386 nucleotides) under Histoplasma capsulatum var. duboisii H88. RNAcentral describes it as "Histoplasma capsulatum H88 hypothetical RNA". The record is from RNAcentral. Lineage: Eukaryota; Fungi; Ascomycota; Eurotiomycetes; Onygenales; Ajellomycetaceae.